RNAcentral lists this ribosomal RNA (842 nucleotides) under Klebsiella pneumoniae. Its description in RNAcentral is "bacterial SSU rRNA". It matches the Rfam family "Bacterial small subunit ribosomal RNA", at positions 198 to 1359 of the family's 1533-position model. The record is from RNAcentral. Lineage: Bacteria; Pseudomonadati; Pseudomonadota; Gammaproteobacteria; Enterobacterales; Enterobacteriaceae.
AGACCAAAGUGGGGGACCUUCGGGCCUCAUGCCAUCAGAUGUGCCCAGAUGGGAUUAGCUAGUAGGUGGGGUAACGGCUCACCUAGGCGACGAUCCCUAGCUGGUCUGAGAGGAUGACCAGCCACACUGGAACUGAGACACGGUCCAGACUCCUACGGGAGGCAGCAGUGGGGAAUAUUGCACAAUGGGCUAAUCGGAAUUACUGGGCGUAAAGCGCACGCAGGCGGUCUGUCAAGUCGGAUGUGAAAUCCCCGGGCUCAACCUGGGAACUGCAUUCGAAACUGGCAGGCUAGAGUCUUGUAGAGGGGGGUAGAAUUCCAGGUGUAGCGGUGAAAUGCGUAGAGAUCUGGAGGAAUACCGGUGGCGAAGGCGGCCCCCUGGACAAAGACUGACGCUCAGGUGCGAAAGCGUGGGGAGCAAACAGGAUUAGAUACCCUGGUAGUCCACGCCGUAAACGAUGUCGAUUUGGAGGUUGUGCCCUUGAGGCGUGGCUUCCGGAGCUAACGCGUUAAAUCGACCGCCUGGGGAGUACGGCCGCAAGGUUAAAACUCAAAUGAAUUGACGGGGGCCCGCACAAGCGGUGGAGCAUGUGGUUUAAUUCGAUGCAACGCGAAGAACCUUACCUGGUCUUGACAUCCACAGAACUUUCCAGAGAUGGAUUGGUGCCUCAAGUCAUCAUGGCCCUUACGACCAGGGCUACACACGUGCUACAAUGGCAUAUACAAAGAGAAGCGACCUCGCGAGAGCAAGCGGACCUCAUAAAGUAUGUCGUAGUCCGGAUUGGAGUCUGCAACUCGACUCCAUGAAGUCGGAAUCGCUAGUAAUCGUAGAUCAGAAUGCUA